AGAGUUUGAUCCUGGCUCAGGAUGAACGCUAGCGGCAGGCCUAACACAUGCAAGUCGGACGGUAACAGGGAUUGCUUGCAAUCCGCUGACGAGUGGCGCACGGGUGCGCAACGCGUAUAGAACCUACCCUGUACAGGGGGAUAGCCCAGAGAAAUUUGGAUUAAUACCCCGUAGUACCUAUUAGAGGCAUUUUUAAUAGGUUAUAGUUUUCGAACGGUAUAGGAUGGCUAUGCGUCUUAUUAGCUAGUAGGUCAGGUAACGGCUUACCUAGGCAACGAUAAGUAGGGGCCCUGAGAGGGGGAUCCCCCACACUGGUACUGAGACACGGACCAGACUCCUACGGGAGGCAGCAGUGAGGAAUAUUGGACAAUGGGCGGAAGCCUGAUCCAGCCAUGCCGCGUGCAGGAAGACGGCCCUAUGGGUUGUAAACUGCUUUUAUACGGGAAGAAUAAGGGAUACGUGUAUCCUGGUGACGGUACCGUAAGAAUAAGGACCGGCUAACUCCGUGCCAGCAGCCGCGGUAAUACGGAGGGUCCGAGCGUUAUCCGGAAUUAUUGGGUUUAAAGGGUCCGCAGGCGGGCAAUUAAGUCAGAGGUGAAAUGGUGCGGCUCAACCGUAGCACUGCCUUUGAUACUGGUUGUCUUGAGUCAUGGUGGAGUGGCCGGAAUAUGUAGUGUAGCGGUGAAAUGCAUAGAUAUUACAUAGAACACCGAUCGCGAAGGCAGGUCACUAACCAUGAACUGACGCUGAUGGACGAAAGCGUGGGGAGCGAACGGGAUUAGAUACCCCGGUAGUCCACGCCGUAAACGAUGGAUACUAGCUGUCCGCUACCUUGAGUAGUGGGCGGCCAAGCGAAAGUGAUAAGUAUCCCACCUGGGGAGUACGUUCGCAAGAAUGAAACUCAAAGGAAUUGACGGGGGCCCGCACAAGCGGUGGAGCAUGUGGUUUAAUUCGAUGAUACGCGAGGAACCUUACCAGGGCUUAAAUGCAGAAUGACAGGUUUAGAGAUAGACUUUUCUUCGGACAUUUUGCAAGGUGCUGCAUGGUUGUCGUCAGCUCGUGCCGUGAGGUGUCAGGUUAAGUCCUAUAACGAGCGCAACCCCUGCCGUCAGUUGCCAGCAAGUAAAGUUGGGGACUCUGACGGGACUGCCGGUGCAAACCGCGAGGAAGGUGGGGACGACGUCAAAUCAUCACGGCCCUUACGUCCUGGGCU
This 1213-nucleotide ribosomal RNA is filed under the name metagenome. Its description in RNAcentral is "bacterial SSU rRNA". It matches the Rfam family "Bacterial small subunit ribosomal RNA", at positions 8 to 1215 of the family's 1533-position model. The record is from RNAcentral.